CGCCAGACUCCUACGGGAGGCAGCAGUGGGGAAUAUUGGACAAUGGGGGAAACCCUGAUCCAGCGACGCCGCGUGAGUGAAGAAGUAUUUCGGUACGUAAAGCUCUAUCAGCAGGAAAGAAAAUGACGGUACCUGACUAAGAAGCCCCGGCUAACUACGUGCCAGCAGCCGCGGUAAUACGUAGGGGGCAAGCGUUAUCCGGAUUUACUGGGUGUAAAGGGAGCGUAGACGGCAGCGCAAGUCUGGAGUGAAAUGCCGGGGCCCAACCCUGGAACUGCUCUGGAAACUGUGAAGCUGGAGUGCAGGAGAGGUAAGCGGAAUUCCUGGUGUAGCGGUGAAAUGCGUAGAUAUCAGGAGGAACACCGGCGGCGAAGGCGGCGUACUGGACGGUAACUGACGCUGAGGCUCGAAAGCGUGGGGAGCAAACAGGAUUAGAUACCCUCGUAGGC
Molecule: ribosomal RNA, 449 nt
Filed under: uncultured bacterium
Lineage: Bacteria
Description: bacterial SSU rRNA
Rfam family: Bacterial small subunit ribosomal RNA
Source: RNAcentral